This 813-nucleotide long non-coding RNA is filed under the name Equus asinus (donkey). RNAcentral's name for it is "lncRNA (ENSEASG00005031263.1)". The record is from RNAcentral. Lineage: Eukaryota; Metazoa; Chordata; Mammalia; Perissodactyla; Equidae.
UCCGUGGAUCUAGGUUAGAGGCGGGGGGUGGUGCUGACCUUGAGAGCGCGUCGGGGAGGCGCAGGCGCAGCCCAGAGCAACUGGGGAACCUAAUUCUGACCAACAAGGAAGAAUUGCUUGGCUAAUUGGAAGUGACAGAAACCUUGGGAGAAAACAACCACAUACUGAGGAUAAUUAUCAGAAGGUAACAUGGGCCCUAAAGGAUAGUGUCAAGAAACCUGAAGCCCCCAAAUGAGUAUUCACUCGCCCAGGGAAGGGGGAAUUUCAAAACAAAGCAACUGAAACAAAGAAAUAGAUUGAAUUUUCCAAAGUGCUUAAAGUGAAGACACAAGUCUUGAAACCUAAGGUGAUGAGGAAAGAACAGAUUUCUUGAACUUCUUCAAUGCUUCAAGAGGUAAAAUUGGAAAGAAGAAGGAAAAAAUUACACAGAGAAAAGGAGGCAAUGUGACCACAGAGACUAAGAUUGGAGUAAUGAGGCCACAAGUGAAGGAAUGCUGACAGCUACCAGAAGCUGGAAGAGGCAAAAAACAGAUUCCCCCCAGGUCCUCCGGAGGAAGCACAGCCCUGCUGACACCUUGAUCUCAGAGUUCUGGCCUCAUAACUUUAAGAGAAUAAAUUUCUGUUGUUUUAAACCACCAAUUUGUAUAUAUUUAUUAUGUCAGCCCUAUUAAGUUUAUACACAGAGUUUAAAGAGAAUCUAGCAAUAUCUCUAGAAAGAUUAGGUUUUUCUGGGUUGGAGGGAAUGGAGGAAUGUGAAAUGGACGGUGGAGUGUGGAGAAGGUCUGAGGGACUCCUUGGAGGGGAGAACCAGAG